This 87-nucleotide transfer RNA is filed under the name Aminobacterium colombiense DSM 12261. It matches the Rfam family "tRNA". From Rfam's summary of the family: Transfer RNA (tRNA) molecules are approximately 80 nucleotides in length. Their secondary structure includes four short double-helical elements and three loops (D, anti-codon, and T loops). Lineage: Bacteria; Thermotogati; Synergistota; Synergistia; Synergistales; Aminobacteriaceae. The record is from Rfam by way of RNAcentral.
GGAGAGAUGGCCGAGUGGUCGAAGGCGCUCGCCUGCUAAGUGAGUGGGGCUUUGCCGCCCCCGAGGGUUCGAAUCCCUCUCUCUCCG